GAUGAACGCUGGCGGCGUGCCUAAUACAUGCAAGUCGAGCGAACGGACGAGAAGCUUGCUUCUCUGAUGUUAGCGGCGGACGGGUGAGUAACACGUGGAUAACCUACCUAUAAGACUGGGAUAACUUCGGGAAACCGGAGCUAAUACCGGAUAAUAUUUUGAACCGCAUGGUUCAAAAGUAAAAGACGGUCUUGCUGUCACUUAUAGAUGGAUCCGCGCUGCAUUAGCUAGUUGGUAAGGUAACGGCUUACCAAGGCAACGAUGCAUAGCCGACCUGAGAGGGUGAUCGGCCACACUGGAACUGAGACACGGUCCAGACUCCUACGGGAGGCAGCAGUAGGGAAUCUUCCGCAAUGGGCGAAAGCCUGACGGAGCAACGCCGCGUGAGUGAUGAAGGUCUUCGGAUCGUAAAACUCUGUUAUUAGGGAAGAAUAUAUGUGUAAGUAACUGUGCACAUCUUGACGGUACCUAAUCAGAAAGCCACGGCUAACUACGUGCCAGCAGCCGCGGUAAUACGUAGGUGGCAAGCGUUAUCCGGAAUUAUUGGGCGUAAAGCGCGCGUAGGCGGUUUUUUAAGUCUGAUGUGAAAGCCCACGGCUCAACCGUGGAGGGUCAUUGGAAACUGGAAAACUUGAGUGCAGAAGAGGAGAGUGGAAUUCCAUGUGUAGCGGUGAAAUGCGCAGAGAUAUGGAGGAACACCAGUGGCGAAGGCGACUUUCUGGUCUGUAACUGACGCUGAUGUGCGAAAGCGUGGGGAUCAAACAGGAUUAGAUACCCUGGUAGUCCACGCCGUAAACGAUGAGUGCUAAGUGUUAGGGGGUUUCCGCCCCUUAGUGCUGCAGCUAACGCAUUAAGCACUCCCCCUGGGGAGUACGACCGCAAGGUUGAAACUCAAAGGAAUUGACGGGGACCCGCACAAGCGGUGGAGCAUGUGGUUUAAUUCGAAGCAACGCGAAGAACCUUACCAAAUCUUGACAUCCUUUGACAACUCUAGAGAUAGAGCCUUCCCCUUCGGGGGACAAAGUGACAGGUGGUGCAUGGUUGUCGUCAGCUCGUGUCGUGAGAUGUUGGGUUAAGUCCCGCAACGAGCGCAACCCUUAAGCUUAGUUGCCAUCAUUAAGUUGGGCACUCUAAGUUGACUGCCGGUGACAAACCGGAGGAAGGUGGGGAUGACGUCAAAUCAUCAUGCCCCUUAUGAUUUGGGCUACACACGUGCUACAAUGGACAAUACAAAGGGCAGCGAAACCGCGAGGUCAAGCAAAUCCCAUAAAGUUGUUCUCAGUUCGGAUUGUAGUCUGCAACUCGACUACAUGAAGCUGGAAUCGCUAGUAAUCGUAGAUCAGCAUGCUACGGUGAAUACGUUCCCGGGUCU
RNAcentral lists this ribosomal RNA (1372 nucleotides) under uncultured bacterium. RNAcentral's name for it is "bacterial SSU rRNA". It matches the Rfam family "Bacterial small subunit ribosomal RNA", at positions 28 to 1381 of the family's 1533-position model. The record is from RNAcentral.